This is a non-coding RNA of Misgurnus anguillicaudatus (oriental weatherfish), 3383 nucleotides long. The record is from RefSeq and is a predicted model, not a curated record. Lineage: Eukaryota; Metazoa; Chordata; Actinopteri; Cypriniformes; Cobitidae.
AUUUUGUGCCAGCCCUCAAAUGUUACCUGGUAGUGUAAAAAAGACAAAACCAUAUCUAACACCACUCAGAACUGAACUGUAUUCUUGCAUUAAGUUAUAUGCAUUACCUCAGGUAGCACCGGCUAACACGGCUGAAGUGUUACAUCUGCAACGGUCGCAUCAGAUGUCUUCUCAAGACCAGGAGCUGGUGCAGAAGCCGGUGCAGGAGUCUGAGUGCCUGACUGGCCCUGUUUUAGUCCUCUUUGUCUGUCCCCUGCAUCCCCUGUGAAAACAAACACUUAGCAAGUGCUUCAAUCAGCAGAGAAUUAUCCAUCCAAGAGUCAUCCCCUUUGGACCCUGAUGAGCUGCAGGUGGCAGUUGUUACAGGAAGGACCAUGUCCUGUUGAGGUGUAAAAUACAGGAAAGUGCUGUUUGCUGGAGGCGGUGGCAGUCACUGCGUGCUGCGCGCUGGAGGCGGCGGCAGUCACGCGUGCGGCGGGCUAUGUCCUGUAGAGGUGUCUGUAAAAUACAGGAAAGUGCUGUUUGCUGCAGGUGGUGGCAGUGCUGGAGGUGGCAGUUGCUGCAGGACUGGCUAUGUCCUUUUGAGGUUUCUGUGAAAUACAGGGAGUUCCAGCUUUGAAGUUUGUAUUAACAUUGCAUGUGUACUAACAACCAUGGCUGUUUAAAGUCACCUUAACCUACCUAUAUCUAUUGAGAAUGUACUGCCUGAAGCGCUUCAGGGACUUAGUGGUGAUGUCGUCCUCCUUCAUGACAAGCCACUGUCUGAUAGAGCAGUAAGCCUCCUGAGCCAUCUUUCUCUCAUGGUCAUUCCCAGCUUGAGGGUCAGCUUGAAGGCGCUUGUGCACACUGUACCACUGCCACAUUUCUUGAAAUGUAAAAGACCUGAAGCUGCCUUUCCCGUAAAUGGCCCUGUUUACGUACAUUUCAAGAUGUCAGGAGACCGGAGGGAACAGCUGCACAUAUUUAAAAAGGGCUUGUCUGAGAACUGUGAGGUGACACCAGCCACAGAAGUUUCACAAGGGUGUACAUUAGCUUGUUGUGCUGAGCGCUGAUGUUUUGUUGAGCUGGCGCAUAGCGCUUGGACAUCUUAACACGCUGAACCAGGGCAGCUUCAAGUUCAUCACUUUUUGUACGACAGUCAGUAUAGUGUAUUACCCCAGUGAGUUUUAUAGAGUUUUUGAAACUUCUGUGGCUGUUUGUCAUGCUCUUCCACCUUAUUUCAUGCAUCAGUGAUGGCGUUUAUUUGAUCUGUGGUAAGGCUCAGCUUUUCUUCAGUCAGGCCGACCUCCACCAGCAGAGAACAGAACUUCUCCAACUGCUGGAGCCCAGGCAGAGGGUUGGAACUACAAGCAUCCUCCUGUUAAAGAGUACAGUAAUUGCACGUUAAGUUAAAAUGCCUAGACUUUCCAUAGACUGGCUGCAUUUAUAAAUAAAAUUUACAGAUAAUAUGUCAUUCUAGUAUAGGAAAGGCUGGAGGGUGAGCUGCACAUGUCUCUUCAGUUGUGGGCUAUGUUGUCACCUGCCUCUGGAUCACUCUGAUAUGCUUCAUCCUCAUCUGGGACAAGCUGGCCAGGCUGGACCACCUCUUCCUACAGACUAGGUCCAUCCAUUGAGAUGUCGAAGAGGCUGAAGGGAACAAAUUCACCCGUGCUUUGGCUGAAUAGAUAUUUUAAGCCAAGCAACUCAUUUGACAUCACUUGAGCAGGUUUACGGAAAUUCUCCUCUACAGUAUCUCCAAACAGCUGGUGGCAUCGGGAGUUAAGGCAAUCGAUCAGAGGUGCUGAGUAUGUUCUGUGUCGUCGACCUUUUCCACCAUACACGGCAUCAGUACAUUAUACAUUUUUAUUGAAACUUAAAGGAUGUACUUACAACUUCAUGUAGCCCACAUCAUUUGACACAAGCCAGUGAAACGUGGCAUUCAGAUAUUGGCUGAAUGGCAGCACCAACUUCCCCAGACAGCGUAGGAAAGGGCAGUGGCCUCAUUCAACAGCUGGGCAGGUGGCAGAGGAAAAGUCAUCCGUCUUUCCUUGUGGGCCCUGGCCUCGUUUGUCGCCACCAAUAAGGCCUGUUGACGAUCCACUGGAGCAGUGGGGUUUUGAAGGCGGAUGACUGGAUUCGCCAUAUCAAGAUGCAACGGAGAGGCGGUUCAGCGAAAAAUCGGCAGCAGGAAGUAGCUGCCAUUGACAGCCGGAGGUCCUGACAUAUUAGGAGAGACCUGCUAUUUUGUGGCAGCCAAUCAGUAUCGUCCAACGUAGUAGCAACCAAUCACAUUUAACUGGAAGUCAAGCGACAACAGUGCCCGCAAAUCUUCACAAUAGCGGCGGUAUUUGGCUCAGUUAUGUUGGAAGAGGAAAUCGAGGAGAAAUGCAAGGGUUUUACUCUGAAAACACCCAUCCAGGGUUUUGCAGUGAUUGGUGCCAGCUACUUGAGAGUGAAACGUCGUUCAAUAAAACAGUUGCAAUCUAAAAGCCUACUUAAUCUAACUAAUCUUUUUUCUUUCUAAAAAACCUUUAACUUAAACUUUCCUUGUUUCUAAUUCUUUUCUUUCUUUCUAACUAUUCAUAAAGUUAUAACCAUUCUACACUUAGAAGAUUUCAAGUACGCAUGUUAAAUAUCUUAAUAUAUUUUAAUUACAUACAUUACUAAGAUUUAAUACUGUGCAUGAUUCGUGCCUUCCUUUUGUUGCUUUGUGAAGCUUUUGUUUACUUUCAUUCAUUCAUUCAUUAUGUGAACGUGUUUGGGCAAGUGUGUGCAUUGUCCAACAUCUGUAAUGAAAAAGAGAUGAAUGAUAUCAGUACAUACAUGUUGGCUACUUGUCAUUUGCAAGUGAACAAAGUUAUAACAAAUCUACACUUAUGGAUAGAUAGGCGGCGGGUAGAAGAUUAGUAAGAAAAACAAAGAAAUUGUUUUUCUUUGUUCUCUUGCAAAUGACAAGUAGGCAACGUGUAUGUACUAAUGUCAUUCAUGCCCUUGGGAAUGGUAUAACUGGUGUGAGAUGAUGUACUGUAGAGUAUCUGGCCUGUGACUCUGUGAUGCCUGGCUCUACUGAUGAAACUAUCCUUCAAUAAAUUUUUAAUUAUUUGAUUGUUCCUCAUGACUCCUGGUCUUCUUUCAUCAUAUCUGGUCUGUGGUCUUUAAGCUGUUAUCUCAUAACACUAGAAACAUUUUAAAUCAUGUUAAACCAUGCUAGAACAUUGUAAAACUUUUUCAAACUUUCUGGCUAUGCUUUUUCAAGCCAACUUAGUUUUUCUACGAAUUUUACAAUCUAGUUAGAAUUGUUGUUGAUCAUUCUAAUUUCAGAACAACAAAUAUCAAGCCUGUUUUAAAAGUUACAGCUGUUUUAUGAAAUGCAGACAAGAAUGUAUUGAAAUACUACAAAUGUA